Molecule: ribosomal RNA, 775 nt
Filed under: uncultured Neocallimastigales
Lineage: Eukaryota; Fungi; Neocallimastigomycota; Neocallimastigomycetes; Neocallimastigales
Description: partial large subunit ribosomal RNA
Rfam family: Eukaryotic large subunit ribosomal RNA
Source: RNAcentral
AGAGAGAGACAUGCGCGCAUAUCAAUAAGCGGAGGAAAAGAAACUAACAAGGAUUCCCUUAGUAACGGCGAGUGAAGCGGGAAGAGCUCAAAUUUGAAAUCUUCAAGGUUCUACCUUGACGAAUUGUAGUUUAUAGAAGUGUUUUCUGUUAGUGGAGUGGCAAAAGUUCUUUGGAAUAGGACAUCAUAGAGGGUGAGAAUCCCGUAUUUGGUCAUUCCUCCUAGCGUUGUGAUACACUUUCAACGAGUCGGAUUGUUUGGGAAUGCAGUCCAAGAUGGGUGGUAAAUUUCAUCUAAAGCUAAAUAUUGGCGAGAGACCGAUAGCGAACAAGUACCGUGAGGGAAAGAUGAAAAGAACUUUGAAAAGAGAGUUAAACAGUACGUGAAAUUGUCAAAAGGGAAGCGUUUGACACCAGUGUUGUUUUUCCGAAAAUCAAUUACGAAUGUUUUGUUUUUGAGGAGUUAUGACUUCAUCGGCUUGCUCCUUUCUUUACGAAACUUCUUAAUGCUACUUUUCGGUUAACAAGUCAACAUCAAUUUCUUUUGUUGUAAAAGGGUAUGAGGAAGGUGGCUUUCUUUUCGGAGAAAGUGUUUAUAGCCUUGUAGCCUCUGCAAUCGGAGAGAUUGAGGUCUGCAGCGUAGAUCCUUCGGGGUUAGAUACAUUUGUGCUAAGUUAUAGCUUUUCAUAGACAACUUGUUGACUAUGUUUAGUCUUGUAGCUUACUCGCUUAUGCUAUUUUACCUACGCUUAGGAUGUUGAUAGUCACAGCGUGUAC